UGCGCAGGCGGGUUUAUAAGUCAGUGGUGAAAUACUGCCGCUUAACGGUAGGAUUGCCAUUGAUACUGUGAAUCUUGAGUUUGGAUGAGGUAAGCGGAAUGUGCAGUGUAGCGGUGAAAUGCAUAGAGAUUGCACAGAACACCGAUUGCGAAGGCAGCUUACUAAUCCACGACUGACGCUGAGGCACGAAAGCGUGGGGAGCGAACAGGAUUAGAUACCCUGGUAGUCC
This 229-nucleotide ribosomal RNA is filed under the name uncultured bacterium. Its description in RNAcentral is "partial 16S ribosomal RNA". It matches the Rfam family "Bacterial small subunit ribosomal RNA", at positions 568 to 796 of the family's 1533-position model. The record is from RNAcentral.